CCACCUUCCACCAACAUGGAUAAUUUAAAAAGACAUCCCUGGUGUAUCUUAAAAGAAUCAAAAUUCCAAAGUGGGGUCAGCAAUGUAGUUUAGCUUCCUUUAUUUGUCAUUAGAAGAGAUGAUGAAAUAGAUUAUUUCUAAAGUCCCUUUCUGUUAAGUUCAGCUAUACUUCUGAGUAUGCUUCCAAGAAAGUGGGAUCUGCUUGGGUGCCUCAGGUACCUCCCCCUGGGAUCGUUGUGUUUCAUCAGUUAGACUCAAAUUGGUGCAAACAGUCUAGACAAGUAAGAAAACCAAAAAAUCAAGCCCUGAAUUGUAGCAUUUGCUGAUAUCUGAGAUGUAAAUUCUCACAUUGAAAAUUUAACAAUCCACUCUGAAGCUGCUUCAGACUGACUCCAUUCAGCACACCUCAGCUUCUUC
RNAcentral lists this long non-coding RNA (417 nucleotides) under Monodelphis domestica (gray short-tailed opossum). RNAcentral's name for it is "lncRNA (ENSMODG00000037782.1)". The record is from RNAcentral. Lineage: Eukaryota; Metazoa; Chordata; Mammalia; Didelphimorphia; Didelphidae.